Non-coding RNA from Halanaerobium hydrogeniformans, 110 nucleotides. Lineage: Bacteria; Bacillati; Bacillota; Clostridia; Halanaerobiales; Halanaerobiaceae. The record is from Rfam.
AUUUCCUUUAAAUCAGUCCAGUGAGGCAGAUAAGGAGAAAACAUAGAGCUAUUUUAAUGCUCUGAAUUUGUUAACUUCUUAUCAGUCUGACUGUUAAGAAGUUUUUUAAU